AAUAGGUACUGCUUCGGCGGGAAGGUAAACGGCAUUUCUGUGUGCUGCUCUGGUUCCCCAGAAGCGGCUUAGUCGUGCUGGCCACAUGACCCGGAAAAACUGUCUGCGGACAAACGCCAGCUCCCUCGGCCAGUAAAGCAAGAUGAGCGCCGCAACCCCAGACCUCGUUAGCGACUGGACUUAACUGUCAGCGGUCCUUUACCUUUACCUUUACAUAUGUGUUUGUCUGGUACAUUUAUGAACGUUUAUUUUAGAUCUUAGACCUUAUAAUUCUCAUAACACUUGGAAAGGGAGUUUAAAUGUUGGGGGGGGGAGGCAGGUGAGAGUCAGUUGAGAGAGGUAGGUUAUAGAAGGGGUGCACUUGGUGAGGGACCUGAAGCUGGGCUGGACAGCUCUUCAGGAUCAGUAGUCCAGCAGUAGGAUCAAGCAGUAGGAUCAAGCCCAUCAGUGACCAUGAGAAGGAACUCUGAAGGUAGGAGGAGAUCGGAGGCACAGAGGAGAUGAGUGGCAUAGAAUUAUUAUUAUUAUUAUUAUUAUUAUUAUUAGCAUCACCCGUCAGUAGUGCAUGUGGCUUGGCUCCCUGGCUUGACUUGUCCACAGCUGUUGAUAGCUUCGCAGGUCCUCAGCUGUGGUCCCCAGAUGAUAUUUUCUGUGGCGAAUAUCUGGUUGCUUACAAGCUUGAACAUAUGGCCUUUCCAUGGCUCUAUUCUUUUAUCUGUAAGGCUCCGUACACCUCACACCUUGAAGUCACGGGGUCAUUCCAUUAAAAUGUCAACCUACAGACUCAUUGUUCCUAAACAUGUUCUAGAUCAUUUU
Molecule: long non-coding RNA, 816 nt
Filed under: Podarcis lilfordi (Lilford's wall lizard)
Lineage: Eukaryota; Metazoa; Chordata; Lepidosauria; Squamata; Lacertidae
Source: RNAcentral